RNAcentral lists this ribosomal RNA (492 nucleotides) under uncultured bacterium. RNAcentral's name for it is "partial 16S ribosomal RNA". It matches the Rfam family "Bacterial small subunit ribosomal RNA", at positions 29 to 507 of the family's 1533-position model. The record is from RNAcentral.
AGUGAACGCUGGCGGUAGGCCUAACACAUGCAGGUCGAACGGCAGCACAGUAAGAGCUUGCUCUUACGGGUGGCGAGUGGCGGACGGGUGAGGAAUACAUCGGAAUCUACUUUUUCGUGGGGGAUAACGUAGGGAAACUUACGCUAAUACCGCAUACGACCUACGGGUGAAAGCAGGGGAUCUUCGGACCUUGCGCGAUUGAAUGAGCCGAUGUCGGAUUAGCUAGUUGGCGGGGUAAAGGCCCACCAAGGCGACGAUCCGUAGCUGGACUGAGAGGAUGAUCAGCCACACUGGAACUGAGACACGGUCCAGACUCCUACGGGAGGCAGCAGUGGGGAAUAUUGGACAAUGGGCGCAAGCCUGAUCCAGCCAUACCGCGUGGGUGAAGAAGGCCUUCGGGUUGUAAAGCCCUUUUGUUGGGAAAGAAAAGCAGCAGGUUAAUACCCCGCUGUUCUGACGGUACCCGAAGAAUAAGCACCGGCUAACUUCGUG